GACGAACGCUGGCGGCGUGCCUAAUACAUGCAAGUCGAGCGGACGGAUGGGAGCUUGCUCCCAGACCGUCAGCGGCGGACGGGUGAGUAACACGUGGGCAACCUGCCUGUAAGACUGGGAUAACUCCGGGAAACCGGGGCUAAUACCGGAUAACUCUUUCCCUCACAUGAGGGAAAGCUGAAAGAUGGCAUCUCGCUAUCACUUACAGAUGGGCCCGCGGCGCAUUAGCUAGUUGGUGAGGUAACGGCUCACCAAGGCGACGAUGCGUAGCCGACCUGAGAGGGUGAUCGGCCACACUGGGACUGAGACACGGCCCAGACUCCUACGGGAGGCAGCAGUAGGGAAUCUUCCGCAAUGGACGAAAGUCUGACGGAGCAACGCCGCGUGAGUGAUGAAGGUUUUCGGAUCGUAAAACUCUGUUGUCAGGGAAGAACAAGUACCGGAGCAACUACCGGUACCUUGACGGUACCUGACCAGAAAGCCACGGCUAACUACGUG
Molecule: ribosomal RNA, 498 nt
Filed under: uncultured bacterium
Lineage: Bacteria
Description: partial 16S ribosomal RNA
Rfam family: Bacterial small subunit ribosomal RNA
Source: RNAcentral